GCCGCUAAUAACGCCGCGGCGGGAGCCGGACGCUCGCUGAGAAUGCGCCACUGUGUUGGGAGCGAGAGGAACCGCACUCGUUUUUGAAUGAAACCCAGAACAACAGUGUGUUCGCGUGUUCCGCUGCAGCUGUGCACAGAGCCCUCUGUCUCUGCUAUUGCUGCCCAGCUGACUUUUCCCAGAUGGGUUUUCCUGUAAGAUCGGGUGUUAUUCGAAAAAUGCAAACGCUUUUCUGUUUUUUUUUGUAGGUAAUGCGUUCCAUAUGUGUCUGGACGCUAGCUUUUUUCUCUGCUUCACCUCUCUGUGUCAGGCUCGGAUUGGAUGCUAAUGGAUCUCGCUCCUAUUCCGGGGAGUUGUGUCCUUCCUCCCUGCUGACCUAUAUUCUACAAUACGAUGUCGGAGGCUUCCUUUGAAUUUUACGGUUGGAGGUGUAACUUUUCACAUCUCGCACAUGGAGGCCUGGAGGUCGUUGCUUACCCCCCGACAACAGGAUGUCUGGCAACACUGCAAAUAAACACUAAACUCCAAAAUGAGCAGCUUCGGGACUGUUGAGUUGCUGCAUUGGCUUGAUUCCACCGAACAGAAGCGAUAUCGGCUGACUCAGCAGUGGGACUCUGGAACAAAGCCUCGAUCCGUUGUGGAACGCGUUCUUAUUCAUCUCCACACCUGCAGACGGGGAGGUCAGCGCUACAGCACCGCAGCCUCAUCUGCACACGCCUGUUAUGUGUCUUGCACAAUAGGAUGAUUGACACUAAAUCAGGAAUGAGAACGCGUUCGCCUCCGACGCCGUCAGGGCUCAGACGGGACCCCAGGAGGCUCUGAGCUGCAGAUCAAUGUCCGUGGAGCCAGUGUUAUAAAUAAAAGAUGAAAUAAAGAGCUCUGAUGCAUGUAGGUGUCACCGUACAGUUGUGUUCUACUGCACAGUCAGCAAAUGUGUUUCCAUGACUAUCAAAUUCAGAAUCCUUUAAUUAAACUAUAUUUAAGAAACACUUGC
Molecule: long non-coding RNA, 994 nt
Organism: Betta splendens (Siamese fighting fish)
Lineage: Eukaryota; Metazoa; Chordata; Actinopteri; Anabantiformes; Osphronemidae
Exons: 2
Source: RefSeq, a predicted model, not a curated record